UCCUCCCUCUUUCUUCGUGCUUAACACAUGCAAGUCGAACGGAAAGGCCCUGCUUUUGUGGGGUGCUCGAGUGGCGAACGGGUGAGUAACACGUGAGUAACCUGCCCUUGACUUUGGGAUAACUUCAGGAAACUGGGGCUAAUACCGGAUAGGAGCUCCUGCUGCAUGGUGGGGGUUGGAAAGUUUCGGCGGUUGGGGAUGGACUCGCGGCUUAUCAGCUUGUUGGUGGGGUAGUGGCUUACCAAGGCUUUGACGGGUAGCCGGCCUGAGAGGGUGACCGGCCACAUUGGGACUGAGAUACGGCCCAGACUCCUACGGGAGGCAGCAGUGGGGAAUAUUGCACAAUGGGCGGAAGCCGGAUGCAGCAACGCCGCGUGCGGGAUGACGGCCUUCGGGUUGUAAACCGCUUUCGCCUGUGACGAAGCGUGAGUGACGGUAAUGGGUAAAGAAGCACCGGCUAACGACGUGC
RNAcentral lists this ribosomal RNA (469 nucleotides) under uncultured bacterium. Its description in RNAcentral is "partial 16S ribosomal RNA". It matches the Rfam family "Bacterial small subunit ribosomal RNA", at positions 36 to 508 of the family's 1533-position model. The record is from RNAcentral.